Molecule: long non-coding RNA, 301 nt
Organism: Lagopus leucura (white-tailed ptarmigan)
Lineage: Eukaryota; Metazoa; Chordata; Aves; Galliformes; Phasianidae
Exons: 3
Source: RefSeq, a predicted model, not a curated record
UCUGGAGUCUUGCAGCGAGCCCAGGAUGUAGGGUGCCAUCAUCUGGGUCUCCCUGCUGGCAACGGCAUGAUAGAUGGCGACACAUCUUAUGUUUGCAGCAAAGGCUGCUUUGGCUUACGACUGUCCGGCUAGCAAAACAGAGCAAGCUGCCAAAAACAACAGUCCAAGUGAAAACAGAGUAAUAACACCAGCAGCGUGGGAGACAGCAGCCAAGGAGGAACACACGAGCCCCAGAGAACAGGCCAUCAAUUUUCUUGCUGUGGCUGGCUGAAGGAAACUGAAAUGUAUAUUGCAGUGGCUU